Molecule: unclassified non-coding RNA, 350 nt
Filed under: soil metagenome
Description: partial contains 5.8S ribosomal RNA, internal transcribed spacer 2, and large subunit ribosomal RNA
Rfam family: 5.8S ribosomal RNA (bases 1-120)
Source: RNAcentral
GAUGAAGAACGCAGCGAAAUGCGAUAAGUAAUGUGAAUUGCAGAAUUCAGUGAAUCAUCGAAUCUUUGAACGCACAUUGCGCCCGCCAGUAUUCUGGCGGGCAUGCCUGUUCGAGCGUCAUUUCAACCCUCAAGCCCAGCUUGGUGUUGGGGAUCGGCACAGGCGCCCUCGGGCGCCCGCCGUCCCCUAAAUCUAGUGGCGGUCCCGCUGCAGCCUCCUCUGCGUGGUAGUUUUCUCCUCGCAAGGGCAGCUCGGUGGCGACCUCGCCGUAAAACCCCCAACUUCUGAAAGGUUGACCUCGUAUCAGGUAGGAAUACCCGCUGAACUUAAGCAUAUCAAUAAGCGGAGGA